GCAGACAUUUGUGUUAAGACAAAAAUUAAAAGUGUAUACUGUCACCAUCAGAACAGAAGUGACUCCAUUUAUAACAGAAUACAGAAACAGACACAUUUUUACUUCUCUCUGUAACUCUAUUCAUUCAAGCCUGAAGCUAAGGAAUGCAACUUACAUAAACAUUAGAGAUAAAACCUGAGAUAAGACAUGAUGUCUACAGCAAAAGGGGGUUGAAG
Pelobates cultripes (western spadefoot toad) is the source of this 215-nucleotide non-coding RNA. The record is from the annotation of a GenBank genome assembly. NCBI's taxonomy places the organism in Eukaryota, Metazoa, Chordata, Amphibia, Anura, Pelobatidae.